This 201-nucleotide unclassified non-coding RNA is filed under the name Borreliella burgdorferi (Lyme disease spirochete). RNAcentral describes it as "partial miscellaneous RNA". Lineage: Bacteria; Pseudomonadati; Spirochaetota; Spirochaetia; Spirochaetales; Borreliaceae. The record is from RNAcentral.
AGGUUAUUGCCAGGGUUUUUAUUUUUAUACUUUAAACUUUGAUUUUAUUUUUAUGUUUUUUAAAUAUUGGUGUUUUUGAAUGUGUUGUUUAAAUAACAUAAAAAUAAAAUAUAUAUUGACAUGUAUUAAACAAAGAUAUAUAUUAUUUUAUGUUGUAUAAAUAAAUUGGCAAAAUAGAGAUGGAAGAUAAAAAUAAAAACC